GAUGAAGAACGCAGUGAAAUGCGAUACGUAAUGUGAAUUGCAGAUUUCAGUGAAUCAUCGAAUCUUUGAACGCACAUUGCGCCCGCUAGUAUUCUGGCGGGCAUGCCUGUUCGAGCGUCAUUUCAACCAUCAAGCCCUAGGCUUGCGUUGGAGCCCUGCGGCUGCCGCAGACUCCCAAAUCCAGUGGCGGGCUCGUCGUCGUACCGAGUGCAGUAAACAUCCUCGCUCAGGGAACGUGACGGGUUCUUGCCGUGAAACCCCCCACAUAUCAAGGUUGACCUCGGAUCAGGUAGGAAUACCCGCUGAACUUAAGCAUAUCAAUAAGCGGAGGA
RNAcentral lists this unclassified non-coding RNA (332 nucleotides) under soil metagenome. RNAcentral's name for it is "partial contains 5.8S ribosomal RNA, internal transcribed spacer 2, and large subunit ribosomal RNA". The stretch from base 1 to 120 matches the Rfam family "5.8S ribosomal RNA", at positions 35 to 154 of the family's 154-position model. The record is from RNAcentral.